GGCACACAUGAUCGCGCCGCGAACGCACGUCGUCUAUUCGGAACACGACCGCCACGCGAGCUUCUAUGCGCAUGUGUUAUCGUCAAACUCCACUCGUGAUACGAUAAACUCUUAGCAAUUGCUCUAAGACUUUGAAAUGAUGUGCAGAAUCCAACCAGCUGGUGUGCCCUAACGAUAGUGGAAGUCAUCAUCGAUUUUCUAAGGAACAAAAUUGACUCCUCGUCCACAAGGAUAAGGUCGAAGUUAAAGGAAAAUAUGGUAAUAUCGCAAAGCAGACAACAUGAAUAAGUCCACCACGUGCACUCCAGCGGUUAAAUGUAACCAAGUGACCGCUUACAGCCAAAAGACCAGACACAACAAGCCCAAUUUCACCCAAAUAAGUUACGUACAACCACCAUUCAGAAUAUCUCCGAGUAACCCUAAACCAACUAACAAGUCGCGAUGCAUGUGAGACAGUGUCGUUUUUUUUUUUCAUAAUGUAUAGUUUCUUGUGAUGUAUGUAUUUUUAUUAGUUAAUUAAUAAUGUCAAUAAUAUUUUCUGUCUUUUACUCGAUUCAUUAAAAACCGUAUCGACUCUAUUAUGAUAAUCUAUUAACACGUUAAUUUUAAAGAUAAUUUUAGUUUAAAAAAUCUUAUAUAAUUAGUCAUA
This 649-nucleotide unclassified non-coding RNA is filed under the name Melitaea cinxia (Glanville fritillary). RNAcentral's name for it is "misc RNA ENSMCXG00005021748.1". The record is from RNAcentral. Lineage: Eukaryota; Metazoa; Arthropoda; Insecta; Lepidoptera; Nymphalidae.